RNAcentral lists this ribosomal RNA (335 nucleotides) under uncultured bacterium. Its description in RNAcentral is "bacterial SSU rRNA". It matches the Rfam family "Bacterial small subunit ribosomal RNA", at positions 1045 to 1382 of the family's 1533-position model. The record is from RNAcentral.
AUGGCUGUCGUCAGCUCGUGUCGUGAGAUGUUGGGUUAAGUCCCGCAACGAGCGCAACCUUACCCUUAGUUGUUUUCCCGAAAGGAUUACCCUCUAAGGGGACUGCCCCGGACAACGGGGAGGAAGGUGGGGAUGACGUCAAGUCCGCAUGCUCCUUACGUCUAGGGCUACACACGUCCUACAAUGGGGUCGACAGUGGGAUGCAAAGCCGCGAGGUGGAGCCAAUCCCCAAACGGCCUCUCAGUUCGGAUAGUAGUCUGCAACUCGACUACUUGAAGUCGGAAUCGCUAGUAAUGGCGGAUCAGCAUGCCGCCGUGAAUACGUUCCCGGGUCUU